Molecule: ribosomal RNA, 482 nt
Filed under: uncultured organism
Description: bacterial SSU rRNA
Rfam family: Bacterial small subunit ribosomal RNA
Source: RNAcentral
GAUGAACGCUAGCGGCAGGCUUAACACAUGCAAGUCGUGGGGCAGCGGGGGCUUCGGCCCGCCGGCGACCGGCAAACGGGUGCGGAACACGUACGCAACCUUCCUCAGAGCGGGGAAUAGCCUCUCGAAAGAGAGAUUAAUACCCCAUAGUAUCCCGAAUCUGCAUGGAUUUGGGAUUAAAGCUCCGGCACUUUGAGAUGGGCGUGCGGCUGAUUAGGUAGUUGGUAGGGUAACGGCCUACCAAGCCGACGAUCAGUAGCUGAUGUGAGAGCAUGAUCAGCCACACGGGCACUGAGACACGGGCCCGACUCCUACGGGAGGCAGCAGUGAGGAAUAUUGGUCAAUGGAGGCAACUCUGAACCAGCCAUGCCGCGUGAAGGAUGAAGGUCCUCUGGAUUGUAAACUUCUUUUAUAGAAGAAGAAACCCCAGUAUUCUUAUUGGGUUGACGGUACUCUAUGAAUAAGCACCGGCUAACUCCGUG